Molecule: unclassified non-coding RNA, 564 nt
Filed under: Hevea brasiliensis (rubber tree)
Lineage: Eukaryota; Viridiplantae; Streptophyta; Magnoliopsida; Malpighiales; Euphorbiaceae
Source: RNAcentral
GCCGCCCAUCCCCUUACCACACUCAACCUCCCUCUUUACCGCUUUUCUAUUAAUCAACAUAAUGAUUAUUAUAAGACCUAUUCCGAAGGGCUCGUCGGAGAGACCAUUGUGGUUGCAUAAUAAAUGAAUAUGAUACUCAAGGCUAUGCCCCCCACAAUCAUCCAUUUGAGGGUUGUAUCCCCACCCUCUAUAUCAUCUGUGGGAACUUCUAUAACGUCGAUCAUUGGGAUUUCGUUCUCGAACGGAAUGAGCUGUUGAUCUAUGAUCAGAUAUAUAUCUGGGAGGAUUUCCAAGGGGUAAUGGCUUACCCACCCAUAGUAGAACACCAUUAGUAAUGGAGUGAUAGUUCCUGCAUUCGUUACAUUGACUAACCUUCUGAUUCUUUCACUCACUGCUGCUGAGUUGCCAAAAGCAUGAAGGGGGUAUUUUAGAUUGUUCACACUCAGUGAAUCAGGAGAAAUAAUCCUUUGUGGAAAGACAAUAGGCUUGACUUCUACCCUGGAUAGCAGUAUUGGAAGUAUUCCAAAUGGAAGUACCCCAACAGGAAGUACCUCAAAUAGGCGG